ACUGGUUUGGCUCAGUGGAUAGAGCAUUGGCCUGUGGACCCAAGGGUCCCAGGUUCGAUUCCGGUUAUGGGUG
Molecule: transfer RNA, 73 nt
Filed under: Myotis davidii
Lineage: Eukaryota; Metazoa; Chordata; Mammalia; Chiroptera; Vespertilionidae
Rfam family: tRNA
About the family: Transfer RNA (tRNA) molecules are approximately 80 nucleotides in length.
Source: Rfam by way of RNAcentral